GCUUCCUCAGCUGUCAACCCAAUAUAAACUGCUCCGCCACACAUCCACCAGACAUCCAUCAGCCAUCCAUCAGACAUUAUACGCUUCUUUCACCACUACAUUUGUGCUGUUUAAUCACUGAUUGAAUCUUUACCCACCAUCCUGAUAAAGUGGCAACAUGUGCAAACUCCCUCUAACGGCAGGUCUCUGUUUGAUCAUCGCCAGCUUGGGAUAUCCUGGCCUCACGGAUACAGCUGCAAUGCCACCAAACCCCUGUGAUGGAAAGAGCAAUGGGCAAUACACCAACCCUGCUGACCCACAUUCUUUUUACAAUUGUGGGGAUGGAAGAACCUACAUCCAAAACUGCCAAAAUAAUCUGGUGUUUAACCAACAAUGCAGCUGCUGUGAAGGUCCUGUAACUCCACCUACCCUAACCUCAACUCCCCCUACUAUAACUACAUCUCCACCUACUACAACUGCAAUUCCAACACCAACUGAUAACUUCUGUAAUGGAAAGAGCAAUGGGCAAUACACCAACCCUGCUGACCCACAUUCUUUUUACAAUUGUGGGGAUGGAAGAACCUACCUCCAAAACUGCCAAAAUAAUCUGGUAUUUAACCAACAAUGCAGCUGCUGUGAAGAUCCUGUGACUCCACCUACCACAACCUCAACUCCACCUACCACAACCACAUCUCCACCUACUACAACUGCAAUUCCAUCACCAACUGAUAACUUCUGUAAUGGAAAGAGCAAUGGGCAAUACACCAACCCUGCUGACCCACAUUCUUUUUACAAUUGUUGGGAUGGAAGAACCUACCUCCAAAUCUGCCAAAAUAAUCUGGUCUUUAACCAACAAUGUAACUGCUGUAACUAUGAUUUAACUCCAUCUACCACAACCAAAACUCCCCCUACCAAACCUACAACUCCCCCUAC
This is a long non-coding RNA of Etheostoma spectabile (orangethroat darter), 912 nucleotides long. RefSeq lists it as uncharacterized. Lineage: Eukaryota; Metazoa; Chordata; Actinopteri; Perciformes; Percidae. The transcript is spliced from 5 exons. The record is from RefSeq and is a predicted model, not a curated record.